RNAcentral lists this ribosomal RNA (941 nucleotides) under uncultured bacterium. Its description in RNAcentral is "bacterial SSU rRNA". It matches the Rfam family "Bacterial small subunit ribosomal RNA", at positions 94 to 1045 of the family's 1533-position model. The record is from RNAcentral.
AGCGGCAGACGGCUGAGUAACGCGUGAGUAACUGCCCUCCGGUGGGGUAUAACCUCGGGAAACUGAGGAUAAUCCCGCAUACGACCGCAUCCCUUGGGUUGCAGAUGAAAGGCUUCGGCCGCCGGAGGAGGGGCUCGCGUCCUAUCAGGUUGUUGGUGGGGUAAUGGCCUACCAAGCCGAUGACGGGUAGCUGGUCUGAGAGGAUGACCUGCCAGAGGGGGACUGAGAACGGCCCCCACUCCUACGGGAGGCAGUAGCAGGGAAUCUUGGGCAAUGGGCGAAAGCCUGACCCAGCGACGUCGCGUGGGGGACGAAGGCCUUAGGGUUGUAAACCCCUUUUCCGAGGGAAGAGAAAGGACGGUACCUCGGGAAUAAGCCCCGGCUAACUACGUGCCAGCAGCCGCGGUAAUACGUAGGGGGCAAGCGUUACCCGGAAUCACUGGGCGUAAAGUGCGCGUAGGCGGUUGGAUAAGUCUCUUGUGAAAGCUCCCGGCUCAACUGGGAGAGGUCAAGGGAUACUAUUCGACUAGAGGACAGCAGAGGUAAGCAGAAUUCCCGGUGUAGCGGUGGAAUGCGUAGAUAUCGGGAGGAACACCAGUGGCGAAAGCGGCUUACUGGGCUGUAGCUGACGCUGAGGCGCGAGAGCGUGGGGAGCAAACUGGAUUAGAUACCCAGGUAGUCCACGCCCUAAACGAUGGAUACUAGGUAUGGGGGGUAUUGACCCCCUCCGUGCCGUAGCUAACGCGUUAAGUAUCCUGCCUGGGGACUACGGCCGCAAGGCUAAAACUCAAAGGAAUUGACGGGGGCCCGCACAAGCGGUGGAGCGUGUGGUUUAAUUCGAUGCUAAGCGAAGAACCUUACCUGGGCUCGACAUGUUGGUAGUAGAAACCCGAAAGGGUGACGACCCCGGGGUAACUCGGGGAGCCAUCACAGGUGCUGCA